RNAcentral lists this long non-coding RNA (1839 nucleotides) under Homo sapiens (human). RNAcentral describes it as "non-protein coding SATB1-AS1:1". Lineage: Eukaryota; Metazoa; Chordata; Mammalia; Primates; Hominidae. The record is from RNAcentral.
UGUUCAUUUAAAAAUUUAUUAGAUAACUAGCAUGGACUAUACAUGGACAUUUUGAGCCAAAACACUCAAUGCCUAUCUGUCACUGUGGCUGGAGUCCUGAUUCUCCACAUGUAACAUUACAGUAACACAACUGUAAAAGUGAUACAAAAUAACUUGAAAGCAUAAAAAUAGGCCAAUAUGAGAUAGUCCUCAUUUGUUAAUUAAAAGCACCUGGCACCUUUAAUAUUUUGCAGCCUUGUGCCACUUUGGUCUUUUCUCAUCAACACUGGGGGAAUGCACAUUUAAGAUUUGAGCAUUUCAUUGUAUGCAAAUAAUACCUCCUUAAAACAAUGAAAAAGUUCUAGAGGGCAGAUUUUGCAAUUAAUUGAUUAGAAAUAUGGCAUAUUGGUUUACAUAUUGGGUUAUACUCAUGAGUCAUCUGCUGAGACAGAGAAUGAGAAAGAUACAAUUAUUUUCUCACCUUACACCAGGUCUUCUUGCUUGCAGGAUACAUUGAGUUUAAUUAAAUUAUUUUGCUAUGAAUCCCCAUUUCUGAAUGUCUCUCUACAGCUCACGCUAUUUUCCCUCAGCCUCCUGAGUGGCUGAGACAAGUUUUGCUCUAACAAACCUAGACUUCCUGAGUCCACAGCACAUUGAAAUUGGCACAAUCCUAGUAUUUUGUAAGAAUCCAUUUUUCUCCCAUGAAGAACUUUGUUUUCCCAAGAUUUAAAUGGUAAUUACUAUAGGCUCACUUCACCAUUAUCAUAAUCAUGAUUGCUGGUCCCUCCUCCUAAGUCCUUCUCUUUUGUUUCUUCACUUCUCAAUUCAUUAAGACUACUUGUAAGGAUUAUGGAGUUGCUUCAUACAUUCCUGGCAUCUUUGUCAGGUAAUUUCCUCUGUCUCAUGUGUUCUUAGGCUGUAGGCAUUUGUGUCCAUGUCUGAUUCUUUUCUUAAUCUAUAAAAAUUUUGAAGAAAGGAAACAUCUAAUUUACCUUAGCACAGCCACUUGCACCUAGUAGGUGCUGACUAAACAUUUAUUGAAGAGAUGAUGGAGUAGUGAAGAACACAAACCCUAGGGCUAGACUCUUCCACCUACCAGCUGUGUGAUAUCAAGCAUGUUACUUACCCUCUCUAAGCCUCAGUUUCCAUCUGAAUAAUGAAGAUAAUAAGAGUACCUACCUUACUGAAGUUUUGUGGGGAUUAAUGAGCUAAUUUUUAAAAAGCCUUUAGAAGAAUGCCUAACAUACUAUGAAUAUAUACAAAUAAAAUGAAACCAAAUCAUCUUUGGAUCAUAUAUCAAUUUUAUAGAAAACUCUGGCUUUCUAAAUCAAUGUCUACCCUAUUUGGAAAUUUUUCUUAAAAACAACAACAAGCAAAAAGCAAUAAUUCAAUCUAAAGCUAUUUCUUUCAAGUAUUCUAGUUCUGUUAUUCCAGAAUUUGGUGAAUGAAUCUAUUUAUCCAUUAUGAUUUUGUAGCCUUUGAUCAUAUGCCUCUCAUUCUCCAGAUUUUCAGAGGAAGCAUGUCUGUAAUACCUUUUCUUUUUUUCUUAUUUAGGGUCUUUUAUUAUGUCUUCCUUGAAGUGCUCUGAUCAGAUCUGCAAUACUGGAGAUGUAAAUUCAACUCUACUUUUUUUUUCUUUUAAAAAGAAGAGCAACAUAAUCCUUAGUGAUCCUAAAUAUUAUUCAACUUAUCUUAACAUUCAAUUUCUUUAUAUAGCAAAGGAAUGCAUUUUUAGCAAUGAAAUAAACAGCAAACAUUGACAUUGCUUAUUAACAGUAUUUACGGUCGAAGUGCCCCACAUAUUCUGAAAGGUUAUGUUGUACAUUCUUUUAAGAAGACUUCAGGGUUUUCUACUGAAAG